RNAcentral lists this ribosomal RNA (399 nucleotides) under uncultured bacterium. RNAcentral's name for it is "bacterial SSU rRNA". It matches the Rfam family "Bacterial small subunit ribosomal RNA", at positions 355 to 751 of the family's 1533-position model. The record is from RNAcentral.
UGAGGAAUAUUGGACAAUGGAUGGAAAUCUGAUCCAGCCAUGCCGCGUGCAGGAAGACGGCCCUAUGGGUUGUAAACUGCUUUUGUAUGGGAGCAAUAAGGGCUACGUGUUGCCUGAUGAGAGUACCAUACGAAUAAGGACCGGCUAACUCCGUGCCAGCAGCCGCGGUAAUACGGAGGGUCCGAGCGUUAUCCGGAUUUAUUGGGUUUAAAGGGUGCGUAGGCGGUUUUAUAAGUCAGCGGUGAAAUUUUCCGGCUCAACCGGGAUACUGCCGUUGAUACUGUAAGGCUAGGAUAUGGUUGCUGUGGGUGGAAUGUGUGGUGUAGCGGUGAAAUGCUUAGAGAUCACACAGAAUAUCGAUUGCGAAGGCAGCUCACAAAGCCAUUAUUGACGCUGAGG